AUGGGAUCUCUCCCCGUCCCGAGUGUGCAGGCCUCAGUGGCUGCCACCGGCGGGGACGAUGUGCCGCUGAGGUAUCUCCGGCCAGAGGCGGCAGCAGAGGCGGUCACUGGCGAUGGCGACGGCGAGGCUCAGAUCCCCAUCAUCGACCACCAAAGGCUACUGCUGGAGUUGGACCAUGGUGGCGAGAGCCUCCAUCGUUUUCCUCAGGACUGGGGCUUCUUCCAAGUUAUUUGUUUGCAGUUGGUUAACCACAGUGUCCCGGACGAUGUGCUGGAGAGCAUGAAGGCCAACAUCCAGCAGUUCUUCCAGCUGCCCGCAGAGACGAAGAAGCGAUUCGCUCAGGAGCAAGGGCAGCUAGAAGGCUACGGUCAACUAUUCGUCGUCUCUGAGGAUCAGAAACUCGACUGGGCUGACAUGCUCUUCCUCUACACACAGCCACCUGAGAUGAGGAACGCUAAGUUCUGGCCUGACCAGCCUGCUACCUUCAGAUCGGCGCUGAAUAGAUAUUCUGGUGCGGUGAAGGAUUUAUCAGACUCCCUUUUGGCUACGAUGGCCAAGAACUUGGGACUGAAACGAGAGGCGAUCGCUGACAAAUGCAUCCAUGGAAUGCAGAAAGUCAGAAUAAACUACUACCCCCCGUGCGCACAAGCAGAGAAAGUCGUUGGCUUGUCCCCGCACUCCGAUGCUAAUCUCCUAACCCUUGUCCUCCAAGUGAAUCAUGUCCAGGGCCUGCAGAUCAAGAGGAACGGCAGCUGGCUUCCUGUGAAGCCCGUCUCGGGCGCUUUCGUCGUUAACAUCGGAGAUAUGUUUGAGGUCUUGACGAACGGGAGGUACAGGAGCAUCGAGCACCGGGCAGUCGUCGACCCCAAGGAAGAACGGCUGUCGAUCGCCGCGUUCCAGUUCCCAGACAUCCACACCAUGAUAGGUCCUCUAAAGGAGAUGACCGGACAUGAAGACGAUGCCUACAAGACGUCGGACCUUGAGAGCUUCAUGAAGAUCUUCUUCGCGACCAAGCUCGAGGGGAAGAACUUCUUGGAGCAGAUGAAGCUAAACUAG
This 1056-nucleotide ribosomal RNA is filed under the name Triticum aestivum (bread wheat). Its description in RNAcentral is "partial small subunit ribosomal RNA". The record is from RNAcentral. Lineage: Eukaryota; Viridiplantae; Streptophyta; Magnoliopsida; Poales; Poaceae.